CAGAUUAUGUUAAGGACAUUUAUUAUUUACAUUAAUAAUUUACUUGUGCGAUUCAAGUUGAUCUGA
This 66-nucleotide transfer RNA is filed under the name Macroscytus gibbulus. Its description in RNAcentral is "tRNA-Val". Lineage: Eukaryota; Metazoa; Arthropoda; Insecta; Hemiptera; Cydnidae. The record is from RNAcentral.